RNAcentral lists this ribosomal RNA (510 nucleotides) under uncultured bacterium. Its description in RNAcentral is "partial 16S ribosomal RNA". It matches the Rfam family "Bacterial small subunit ribosomal RNA", at positions 28 to 507 of the family's 1533-position model. The record is from RNAcentral.
GACGAACGCUGGCGGCGUGCUUAACACAUGCAAGUCGAACGAAGAGCGAUGGAAGCUUGCUUCUAUCAAUCUUAGUGGCGAACGGGUGAGUAACGCGUAAUCAACCUGCCCUUCAGAGGGGGACAACAGUUGGAAACGACUGCUAAUACCGCAUACGAUCUAAUCUCGGCAUCGAGGAUAGAUGAAAGGUGGCCUCUACAUGUAAGCUAUCACUGAAGGAGGGGAUUGCGUCUGAUUAGCUAGUUGGAGGGGUAACGGCCCACCAAGGCGAUGAUCAGUAGCCGGUCUGAGAGGAUGAACGGCCACAUUGGGACUGAGACACGGCCCAGACUCCUACGGGAGGCAGCAGUGGGGAAUCUUCCGCAAUGGACGAAAGUCUGACGGAGCAACGCCGCGUGAGCGAUGACGGCCUUCGGGUUGUAAAGCUCUGUUAAUCGGGACGAAAGGCCUUCCUGCGAAUAGUGAGAAGGAUUGACGGUACCGGAAUAGAAAGCCACGGCUAACUACGUG